AGUGAACGCUGGCGGUAGGCCUAACACAUGCAAGUCGAACGGCAGCACAGUAAGAGCUUGCUCUUACGGGUGGCGAGUGGCGGACGGGUGAGGAAUACAUCGGAAUCUACUUUUUCGUGGGGGAUAACGUAGGGAAACUUACGCUAAUACCGCAUACGACCUACGGGUGAAAGCAGGGGAUCUUCGGACCUUGCGCGAUUGAAUGAGCCGAUGUCGGAUUAGCUAGUUGGCGGGGUAAAGGCCCACCAAGGCGACGAUCCGUAGCUGGUCUGAGAGGAUGAUCAGCCACACUGGAACUGAGACACGGUCCCGACUCCUACGGGAGGCAGCAGUGGGGAAUAUUGGACAAUGGGCGCAAGCCUGAUCCAGCCAUACCGCGUGGGUGAAGAAGGCCUUCGGGUUGUAAAGCCCUUUUGUUGGGAAAGAAAAGCAGCAGGUUAAUACCCCGCUGUUCUGACGGUACCCAAAGAAUAAGCACCGGCUAACUGCGU
This 491-nucleotide ribosomal RNA is filed under the name uncultured bacterium. RNAcentral's name for it is "partial 16S ribosomal RNA". It matches the Rfam family "Bacterial small subunit ribosomal RNA", at positions 29 to 506 of the family's 1533-position model. The record is from RNAcentral.